UAGGGAAUCUUCCGCAAUGGACGCAAGUCUGACGGAGCAACGCCGCGUGAGUGAAGAAGGAUUUCGGUUCGUAAAACUCUGUUGUUAGAGAAGAACAGCGCAUAGAGUAACUGUUAUGCGUGUGACGGUAUCUAACCAGAAAGCCACGGCUAACUACGUGCCAGCAGCCGCGGUAAUACGUAGGUGGCAAGCGUUGUCCGGAUUUAUUUGGCGUAAAGCGAGCGCAGGCGGUCAAUUAAGUCUGAUGUGAAAGCCCCCGGCUCAACCGGGGAGGGUCAUUGGUGACUGGUUGACUUGAGUGCAGAAGAGGAGAGUGGAAUUCCAUGUGUAGCGGUGAGAUGCGUAGAUAAAUGGAGGAAAUCCAGUGGCGAAGGCGACUCUCUGGUCUGUAACUGACGCUGAGGCUCGAAAGCGUGGGUAGCGAUCAGG
RNAcentral lists this ribosomal RNA (429 nucleotides) under Bacteroidota bacterium. RNAcentral describes it as "Bacteroidetes bacterium partial 16S ribosomal RNA". It matches the Rfam family "Bacterial small subunit ribosomal RNA", at positions 355 to 776 of the family's 1533-position model. The record is from RNAcentral. Lineage: Bacteria; Pseudomonadati; Bacteroidota.